CAGGGAGUAUAAUUUCCAUUUCAUGUAUGAUAAAAUUGUGUAUCACUGAAAUCAUUAACAAAGAACUGGAAAUUGAAGGGAUGCCCAUGAACUGGGGAAUAGCUAAAUAAGUUGUGGUAUUUGAUUGUGGUGGAAUAUUACUGUGCUAUAAGAAAGGAUCAGUAGGUUAAUUUAAAAAAACAGAAAUAUCUACAUGAAAUUAUGGAGAAUGUAAUGAGCAAAUCCAAGAGAUUACAUACAACAACAGGAAUAUAAUUUGAAACAACUUGUACAUAUCUAUCUCCUGACAAAGAAAUAAACAAGGUAUAGUUAAAAUAUAUAUCUAUAUUACAUGUCUAUAUCGUUUCAUCAAAUGAUGUCUUUUCUAUUAGCGAGGGGGACUUUGAAGAAGAGGAGCCAAUGUUCAGCUAUUUGGGGAUUGGAUACAACGUGACACUUCCUGCCCUUUUCUCCAAGCUGAGUUGUUUCAAAUGAAUUCAGUCUGACUAGACUAAAGGAGUAAUACAAUUUUUGCCACAUAAAUUUGCGGUGGAGGGAGAUGAGAUGUGGGCUAAUUCUUCUGCUAAAAAAUGAUCCAUCUUUUUAUAAAAUUAAAAUUUAUUUAUUUGCUACAUUAAAACACCCAGAUUUUCCAGUUCAUGCUGUCCACUAUUAUAAUCAUUUGAGCUCUGUCUUUAUGGAUGAGAAGAGAUAA
RNAcentral lists this long non-coding RNA (694 nucleotides) under Monodelphis domestica (gray short-tailed opossum). Its description in RNAcentral is "lncRNA (ENSMODG00000041450.1)". The record is from RNAcentral. Lineage: Eukaryota; Metazoa; Chordata; Mammalia; Didelphimorphia; Didelphidae.